CAGCUACAUAAGCAGGGUGGGCGGUUGGCCACUUCCCGAUGGAGGGAGGUGGAAAAAAUGACGACGUAUGAAGCAUUAAGCUUAGUUGCUCAAUUUAGUUUAGUGCUAAUAGGAACGCUAACAAUGAUUAUCACGAUGGUCGUGUAUAUAAAAAAGAAAUAACCGUCCCCCCCUAGGCCAAAGGUGUGACGGUUAUUUCAAUCGCACUUAAAGGCUUGCCGCUCUUCUUGUGGCAUGUAGUUGCGCUGACCGGGUGUUUGUAACACCCGGU
Molecule: small RNA, 271 nt
Filed under: Anoxybacteroides amylolyticum
Lineage: Bacteria; Bacillati; Bacillota; Bacilli; Caryophanales; Anoxybacillaceae
Description: Anoxybacillus amylolyticus BsrG
Rfam family: BsrG
About the family: bsrE, bsrG and bsrH pair through intermolecular interactions with antisense sRNAs.
Source: Rfam by way of RNAcentral